Molecule: transfer RNA, 71 nt
Filed under: Camelus bactrianus (Bactrian camel)
Lineage: Eukaryota; Metazoa; Chordata; Mammalia; Artiodactyla; Camelidae
Also listed under: 1 other name
Rfam family: tRNA
About the family: Transfer RNA (tRNA) molecules are approximately 80 nucleotides in length. Their secondary structure includes four short double-helical elements and three loops (D, anti-codon, and T loops). Further hydrogen bonds mediate the characteristic L-shaped molecular structure. tRNAs have two regions of fundamental functional importance: the anti-codon, which is responsible for specific mRNA codon recognition, and the 3' end, to which the tRNAs corresponding amino acid is attached (by aminoacyl-tRNA synthetases). tRNAs cope with the degeneracy of the genetic code in two manners: having more than one tRNA (with a specific anti-codon) for a particular amino acid; and 'wobble' base-pairing, i.e. permitting non-standard base-pairing at the 3rd anti-codon position.
Source: Rfam by way of RNAcentral
GAGAGUAUAGCUCAGCGGUAGAGCACAUGCCUAGCAAGCAUGAGGUCCUGGGUUCAAUCCCAGUACCUGCA